This 495-nucleotide ribosomal RNA is filed under the name uncultured bacterium. RNAcentral's name for it is "bacterial SSU rRNA". It matches the Rfam family "Bacterial small subunit ribosomal RNA", at positions 28 to 507 of the family's 1533-position model. The record is from RNAcentral.
GAUGGACGCUAGCGGCAGGCUUAAUACAUGCAAGUUGAGGGGCAGCAUGAUAUACGCGAGUAUAUUGAUGGCGACCGGCGGACGGGUGAGUAAUAGGUAGGAGACCUACCUCAUACAGGGGGAUAGCAUAGAGAAAUCUGUGGUAAUACCCCAUGAGGUUAUAUGAAUAGAGGCAUAUAAUCAAAGCAUAAGCGAUUAUGCGGUAUGAGAGGGGCCUACUGACCAUUAGCUAGUUGGUGAGGUAAGGGCUCACCAAGGCGAAGAUGGUUAGGGGUUUUGAGAGAGAGACCCCCCACAUUGGAACUGAGAGACGGUCCAGACUCCUACGGGAGGCAGCAGUAGGGAAUAUUGGGCAAUGGGCGAAAGCCUGACCCAGCCAUGCCGCGUGAAGGAAGACGGCCUUAUGGGUUGUAAACUUCUUUACUACGCGAAUAGAGGUUAGUACGAGAUACUAAUAGGAAGGUAGUGUAGUAAAAAGCACCGGCUAACUCCGUG